This is a long non-coding RNA of Empidonax traillii (willow flycatcher), 2260 nucleotides long. RefSeq lists it as uncharacterized. The transcript has 3 exons. The record is from RefSeq and is a predicted model, not a curated record. Lineage: Eukaryota; Metazoa; Chordata; Aves; Passeriformes; Tyrannidae.
UUUUACACUACAUUUUAUGGUUGGCUAUAAUUUUUAAACAAAGCAAAUAGGCAGCUGGUGGACAGGUAUUAACCAGGCAGCAGUCAGCUUCUAUCUUGAAAAGGCUGGUUCAGCUGUCAAGGAAUAAAACUGAACCAAGGGGGAAAGGAGCAUUUAUUCCCAGCAGAAAAGAGAGGAAGGCUGAAAUGAAGGAUUUUCUGCAACGACAGCACUCCCCAGGCAGCAAACCCACCUCUGAGUUUCCAGCAAACCUACCAGGACUACAAGCCAAACCAAUCAAGUAAUGUCACAGUGUAUUUACUCACCUAGUAACCUGCUGACCCAUUCCCUCUCUGGCCCAUGCUAGUGGCUCACAAGGGUGCACCCCAGUGCUGUGUGCUGGGAAGGGGCACAGCUGUGAGCCCAGGUGGGGCAAGGUGACCAAAUGGCUCCCAACUCCCACUCUCCAUCCAUCACUGCGUGGAAAGGGGUGCUGGAGAGAAGCCUGUGUUGGGAACAGAGGUGCUUGGGGGUUGUGCCAGUCCUUUGUGCUGGCUGCCCUCAAUGAGGCAGAAAAUUAAUUGUAAAGAGCAACUCACACACACCUGUCUGCAGCUGAAGAGCAGCUUAUGUCAGAGAUCACCUAGACUUGACUGCUGUCAAAUACUGGCUGUAAGUGAGAUGGGUUUUCUGAAUGCCGUGUUUUAUUUGGUGACAUAUCCUGAACCUUUGGGAAGAGGUUUUUCAAAUAAGCUUUUCUCAAGCUUUUCGCAGGUGUCUUUUUUUUUUUUUUUCCUUUCUUUCUUUCUUCUUAUAAAGAGUAUUAGGCUAUCACAGCAUUGGAAAUGCUGAUAAAUUUGGUGUAAAAGUCUUGUCUGCUAUUCCUUUCCCCUUCUAGUGUUCAUCUCUUCACUGUCCUCAGGAGCAUGUCCUGCCCACAGUUACUCUGUUAACUUGUCCCUGCUCAUAAGACCCUGCACAAAACCCACAACUGGGCGCUUUUCGCUCUGAUUAAAAUCAUGCUGUGCAAUAGGAAAUACAAAUUAGCUCUGGCCUUUGGGGUCCUGACAAGUUUCCAGCACUGCUUUCAGCACCACGCAGAUUGUGUAACUCCAUCCGUGCGCCCUCCGUGUGGUGACGUCUCCCCCUCCGUCAUGAGCUGGGCUGGCUGCCGCACAUCCAGGUUCAGCUGUUAAUACUUCAAGCAGCUUUUAGAACUGAAGGAGGAAGCGAGAUUGCCAGCAGCCUUGUGAAAUGUGGAAAACAGCUUUUCCUUGCUAGGAGACAAUGUGGGAAGGGGCAAAAAGAGGGGGUUUUCCUAGGUAAUUCCCCAAAUCUUGAUGUUUGUGCAAAUACCUCCCUGUCUAUUGAGCAAUUUGGGAGCUCAGCACCAGGACAGCCAAUGCUUCAGUACAGGAUUAAUCUCUGAAAGAAGAGCACAGUAGCAUCUUACACAAACUGUGGCUUAAGUUUGCCUUACCAUGAAGCACACAGCUUCCUACCUCCUCCAGGGAUUCAAACCGGGCAACUGUUACAUCAUUUCAGCCUUGCUAACAGAAGGGCUGAGGCAGCAGCUACCGUGUCAUGUUUUCAGCAGAAACCUUUAAGUCUCGACGACUUCCUCUAAGGAUGCUGAAGCAAACACUGCCCUGACCUGCAAGUGAACAAGUUACAAAUGACAUCUCUGGUUUGAAAUGCCUCAGUUGCUGCUGGGCCAUCUCUCUGUCUGCUGAGUAUCAUCUCUGGUGCUUAUAUAACCAGCCUUGCCCUGCUGGGUGAGAGCCACCAUCCUCAGACUGAUGACUGUGAGUACUCCCCUCCUCCCAAGAGGCAAGUAGGCAUAUUUGUGGGUAUCUCUAUGUGGUUCAGACAAAAGACCCAGAAAAUGUCCCUUUCUCCCUUCUGGCAACCUCCCUGCCUUGCUCCCCCUUCUUUAUCCUCCCUUUAUGCCAUGCACAGCAUAUGGCAUGUGCUUUGGGAGAAACGCAAGGCUAAGUAUGGGCUUUGGAUGCUUUUAUUUUGCAAUGGUGAGUGCUCUCUUUUCCCAUAUCCUCUUUGCUGAUAUGCAGUGUGCUAGUAGUCAUGUCCUUGAUAAGAAUGGAUUUCCUGCUAAGACCCUCCCCUGUAAUCAUAGCCCAGCAUCCUGGAGCCAGCAAUAAACCAUUUUCCCCUGCUGAUAGCAGCCCUCAGCCCACCCUGGACCUUGCUGAAGAUCUGUGAAUGGCUAGAGAAUAACAGAGUAGUGGAUGGAGGAUGUUGCAGAGCAAAGUUUGUCUGUGAC